Non-coding RNA from Orientia tsutsugamushi, 137 nucleotides. Lineage: Bacteria; Pseudomonadati; Pseudomonadota; Alphaproteobacteria; Rickettsiales; Rickettsiaceae. The record is from Rfam.
CAGUGUGAGGCAAACCUACUAGAUAAAGAGUUAGAAAUCUAUAGCUAGGAUAGGCAGCAUAAAGAGAAAUUGAGAUGUUGAAACCUAUCAACAAACUUAUCGAAAAGAUAAGAGCGAAUUAUCAUGCCGCAGUGAAA